Mustela lutreola (European mink) is the source of this 537-nucleotide long non-coding RNA. RefSeq lists it as uncharacterized. The record is from RefSeq and is a predicted model, not a curated record. The transcript has 5 exons. Lineage: Eukaryota; Metazoa; Chordata; Mammalia; Carnivora; Mustelidae.
ACGAUGCACAGACUGGAUUGCAAGAAGGUUGGAAUCUCCGGGAGCCAACUUGGACACUGGCUGUGAUACGGAGUUUAUGGGAACAAUAUUCUACAGGCUCAUCCCCUCCAUAAAAAUCUGGAAAUAAUCUCGUCGAGGAACAGGAACAAAAGGCUGAUUUGAAGAAAAUUUUUAUCAAAAAAGUUAACAUGUCUAAGGCACUGUGCUGGGCGCCAUGUCGGAGAGACCAAAAUUAUCAGUUGCAAGUGAACGAACCUAACACAUUGGGGACAGAGGAUUCACAUUAGAGGUGUCAAAACUUCUAUUUCAUCUGGAUACUGCCUUAGUAGCAGUGAGCCUGAAGAAAAGAAAUGGAUUAUCAAAAGGACUGAGUGUUGCCACAGAAUAGCAAGUUUCAGUCAAGUGUAUUGACUACAACCUCCUGACAUCAACCAAUAUGAGGCUUCAGAGGACCCCACAUUCAGGCAAGUCUUCACCUGACCACUAAUCCUGUCUAUGUCAGCUUGUCAACAGAAUCAUAGACUAAAACAUCACAUG